Dreissena polymorpha is the source of this 394-nucleotide long non-coding RNA. RefSeq lists it as uncharacterized. Lineage: Eukaryota; Metazoa; Mollusca; Bivalvia; Myida; Dreissenidae. The record is from RefSeq and is a predicted model, not a curated record. The transcript has 3 exons.
AAGAGGGCAUUGACUUGCUACUGUUCAAUCUUCUUAUCCUCAAUUGUUUGAUGGACAAAAGCGGAUAUGUGUGGCGAAGAAGUUUGGACGACUUCUAUCUGAUUGAAACUUUACCUAUUAUGAUCCACGACACUUCAAGCAAAAACGAUUACGCUCACCAAAUAUUUGGCAUUCUGCCCGAAGUGACGUGUAGAUCACCGACAGAGAGCUUAAACAUCUACAACGGUAUUCCUCAAGUGGCAAAUAUAGGGCUUAGACAAACGGAUCAGCUUUUUGACGAACAGAAGUUUCGUAGUCCGGUUUUUCAGCGUACUUAUCAAUACUUGCGAAGGUUGGAUUUAGGACAAAACUUGACCGAUGUUCAUGCCCAAAACCCUGAAGGAGAUCAGAAUGC